AGAGAGAGACAUGCGCGCAUAUCAAUAAGCGGAGGAAAAGAAACUAACAAGGAUUCCCCUAGUAACGGCGAGUGAAGCGGGAAGAGCUCAAAUUUGAAAUCUUAAAGGGUUUCCCUUUACGAAUUGUAGUUUAAAGAAGUGUUUUCUGUCGAGGUUUUGGUAAAAGUUCUUUGGAAUAGGACAUCAUAGAGGGUGAGAAUCCCGUAUUUGACCUUUACUUUCAACUUUGUGAUACACUUUCAAAGAGUCGGAUUGUUUGGGAAUGCAGUCCAAAAUGGGUGGUAAAUUUCAUCUAAAGCUAAAUAUUGGCGAGAGACCGAUAGCGAACAAGUACCGUGAGGGAAAGAUGAAAAGAACUUUGAAAAGAGAGUUAAACAGUACGUGAAAUUGUCAAAAGGGAAGCGUUUGACACCAGUGUUGUUUUUCUGAAAAUCAAUUAAAGAACUGUUUAUGCUAAGCUGUUUAGACUUUAUCAGCUAUCUGUUUAGUUUUGAGCUUUUCUUUAAUGCACUUUUCAGUUAACAAGUCAACAUCAAUUUCUUUUGCUGUAAAAAAGCUUGAGGAAGGUGGCUUGAGAUUCGUCUUAAGUGUUUAUAGCCUCUUGCCUAUGCAGUCGGAGAGAUUGAGGUCUGCAGCGUAGAUCCUUCGGGGCUAAAUGCAUUUGUGCUAAGUUAUAGCAUUUUAUAGACAACUUGUUGACUAUGAUUUGUCUUGUAGCUUACUCGCUUAUGUUAUUUUACCUACGCUUAGGAUGUUGACGCAUGAGAUAUACGC
This 774-nucleotide ribosomal RNA is filed under the name uncultured Neocallimastigales. RNAcentral describes it as "partial large subunit ribosomal RNA". It matches the Rfam family "Eukaryotic large subunit ribosomal RNA", at positions 23 to 647 of the family's 3401-position model. Lineage: Eukaryota; Fungi; Neocallimastigomycota; Neocallimastigomycetes; Neocallimastigales. The record is from RNAcentral.